This 511-nucleotide ribosomal RNA is filed under the name uncultured bacterium. RNAcentral's name for it is "bacterial SSU rRNA". It matches the Rfam family "Bacterial small subunit ribosomal RNA", at positions 355 to 883 of the family's 1533-position model. The record is from RNAcentral.
UGGGGAAUAUUGGACAAUGGGCGCAAGCCUGAUCCAGCAAUGCCGCGUGGGUGAAGAAGGUUUUCGGAUUGUAAAGCCCUUUCGGCGGGGACGAUGAUGACGGUACCCGCAGAAGAAGCCCCGGCUAACUUCGUGCCAGCAGCCGCGGUAAUACGAAGGGGGCUAGCGUUGCUCGGAAUGACUGGGCGUAAAGGGCGCGUAGGCGGAUGUGACAGUCAGGCGUGAAAUUCCUGGGCUCAACCUGGGGGCUGCGUUUGCUACGUCAUGUCUUGAGUGGGGAAGAGGGUCGUGGAAUUCCCAGUGUAGAGGUGAAAUUCGUAGAUAUUGGGAAGAACACCGGUGGCGAAGGCGGCGACCUGGUCCUUUACUGACGCUGAGGCGCGAAAGCGUGGGGAGCAAACAGGAUUAGAUACCCUGGUAGUCCACGCCGUAAACGAUGUGUGCUGGAUGUUGGGCGACCUAGUCGCUCAGUGUCGAAGCUAACGCGCUAAGCACACCGCCUGGGGGAUAC